Molecule: ribosomal RNA, 427 nt
Filed under: uncultured bacterium
Lineage: Bacteria
Description: bacterial SSU rRNA
Rfam family: Bacterial small subunit ribosomal RNA
Source: RNAcentral
UUUGACAUGGACGUGGUACCUGAGGUGAAAGCUUCGGGGACUCGCAAGAGAGCGUUCGCAGGUGCUGCAUGGCUGUCGUCAGCUCGUGUCGUGAGAUGUUCGGUUAAGUCCGGCAACAAGCGCAACCCUCGCCUCCAGUUACCAGCGAGUAAAGUCGGGGACUCUGGAGGGACUAACCCGUUAGGGUGGGAAGGUGGGGAUGACGUCAAGUCAGUAUGGCCCUUACAUCUAGGGCUGCACACGUGCUACAAUGCCUGGUACAAAAGGAUCCGAGACCGCGAGGUGGAGGAAAUCCCGAAAGCCAGGCCCAGUUCAGAUUGAAGUCUGCAACUCGACUUCAUGAAGCCGGAAUCGCUAGUAAUGGUAGAUCAGCUACGCUACCGUGAAUACGUUCCCGGGCCUUGUACACACCGCCCGUCACGUCAUG